Molecule: non-coding RNA, 26 nt
Filed under: Mus musculus (house mouse)
Lineage: Eukaryota; Metazoa; Chordata; Mammalia; Rodentia; Muridae
Source: RNAcentral
UUGAAUGAUCCGAGUCUCUUUCAUUC